GUGGGGUUGUGGCUCAGUGGUAGAACACUUGCCUUGCAUGUGUGAGGCACUGGGUUCAAUCCUCAGCACCACA
RNAcentral lists this transfer RNA (73 nucleotides) under Marmota monax (woodchuck). Its description in RNAcentral is "tRNA.Ala". Lineage: Eukaryota; Metazoa; Chordata; Mammalia; Rodentia; Sciuridae. The record is from RNAcentral.